RNAcentral lists this ribosomal RNA (572 nucleotides) under uncultured bacterium. Its description in RNAcentral is "partial 16S ribosomal RNA". It matches the Rfam family "Bacterial small subunit ribosomal RNA", at positions 355 to 919 of the family's 1533-position model. The record is from RNAcentral.
UGGGGAAUUUUGGACAAUGGGCGAAAGCCUGAUCCAGCAAUGCCGCGUGUGUGAAGAAGGCCUUCGGGUUGUAAAGCACUUUUGUCCGGAAAGAAAUCCUUGGCUCUAAUACAGUCGGGGGAUGACGGUACCGGAAGAAUAAGCACCGGCUAACUACGUGCCAGCAGCCGCGGUAAUACGUAGGGUGCAAACGUUAAUCGGAAUUACUGGGCGUAAAGCGUGCGCAGGCGGUUUGCUAAGACCGAUGUGAAAUCCCCGGGCUCAACCUGGGAACUGCAUUGGUGACUGGCAGGCUAGAGUAUGGCAGAGGGGGGUAGAAUUCCACGUGUAGCAGUGAAAUGCGUAGAGAUGUGGAGGAAUACCGAUGGCGAAGGCAGCCCCCUGGGCCAAUACUGACGCUCAUGCACGAAAGCGUGGGGAGCAAACAGGAUUAGAUACCCUGGUAGUCCACGCCCUAAAACGAUGUCAACUAGUUGUUGGGGAUUCAUUUCCUUAGUAACGUAGCUAACGCGUGAAGUUGACCGCCUGGGGAGUACGGUCGCAAGAUUAAAACUUAAAUGAAUUGACGGGGU